AGUGAACGCUGGCGGUAGGCCUAACACAUGCAAGUCGAACGGCAGCACAGUAAGAGCUUGCUCUUACGGGUGGCGAGUGGCGGACGGGUGAGGAAUACAUCGGAAUCUACUUUUUCGUGGGGGAUAACGUAGGGAAACUUACGCUAAUACCGCAUACGACCUACGGGUGAAAGCAGGGGAUCUUCGGACCUUGCGCGAUUGAAUGAGCCGAUGUCGGAUUAGCUAGUUGGCUGGGUAAAGGCCCACCAAGGCGACGAUCCGUAGCUGGUCUGAGAGGAUGAUCAGCCACACUGGAACUGAGACACGGUCCAGACUCCUACGGGAGGCAGCAGUGGGGAAUAUUGGACAAUGGGCGCAAGCCUGAUCCAGCCAUACCGCGUGGGUGAAGAAGGCCUUCGGGGUGUGAAGCCCUUUUGUUGGGAAAGAAAAGCAGCAGGUUAAUACCCCGCUGUUCUGACGGUACCCAAAGAAUAAGCACCGGCUAACUUCGUG
RNAcentral lists this ribosomal RNA (492 nucleotides) under uncultured bacterium. RNAcentral describes it as "partial 16S ribosomal RNA". It matches the Rfam family "Bacterial small subunit ribosomal RNA", at positions 29 to 507 of the family's 1533-position model. The record is from RNAcentral.